AUUGAACGCUGGCGGCAUGCUUUACACAUGCAAGUCGAACGGCAGCGCGGGCUUCUGCCUGGCUGCGAGUGGCGAACGGGUGAGUAAUGCAUCUGAACGUGCCCAGUAGUGGGGGAUAGCCCGGCGAAAGCCGGAUUAAUACCGCAGACGACCUGAGGGUGAAAGCGGGGGACCGAAAGGCCCGGCGGUCGGGGAGCGGCCGACGUCGGAUUAGCUAGCUGGUGGGGUAAGGGCUUACCAAGGCGUCGAUGGGUAGCUGGCCUGAGAGGGUGACCGGCCACGUGGGGACGGCGGUACGGCCCAGACGCCUACGGGAGGCAGCAGUGGGGAAGAGUGCACAAUGGGCGGAAGCGUGAUGCAGCACCGCCGCGUGCGGGAUGACGGCCGUCGGGUUGGAAACCGCUUUCGCCUGUGACGAAGCGGGAGUGACGGUAAGGGGUAAAGAAGCACCGGCUAACUACGUG
This 464-nucleotide ribosomal RNA is filed under the name uncultured bacterium. Its description in RNAcentral is "partial 16S ribosomal RNA". It matches the Rfam family "Bacterial small subunit ribosomal RNA", at positions 28 to 507 of the family's 1533-position model. The record is from RNAcentral.